RNAcentral lists this ribosomal RNA (495 nucleotides) under uncultured bacterium. RNAcentral's name for it is "partial 16S ribosomal RNA". It matches the Rfam family "Bacterial small subunit ribosomal RNA", at positions 28 to 507 of the family's 1533-position model. The record is from RNAcentral.
GACGAACGCUGGCGGCGUGCCUAAUACAUGCAAGUAGAACGCUGAAGGAGGAGCUUGCUCUUCUGGAUGAGUUGCGAACGGGUGAGUAACGCGUAGGUAACCUGCCUGGUAGCGGGGGAUAACUAUUGGAAACGAUAGCUAAUACCGCAUAAGAGUAGAUGUUGCAUGACAUUUGCUUAAAAGGUGCAAUUGCAUCACUACCAGAUGGACCUGCGUUGUAUUAGCUAGUUGGUGGGGUAACGGCUCACCAAGGCGACGAUACAGAGCCGACCUGGGAGGGGGAUCGGCCACACUGGGACUGAGACACGGCCCAGACUCCUACGGGAGGCAGCAGUAGGGAAUCUUCGGCAAUGGACGGAAGUCUGACCGAGCAACGCCGCGUGAGUGAAGAAGGUUUUCGGAUCGUAAAGCUCUGUUGUAAGAGAAGAACGAGUGUGAGAGUGGAAAGUUCACACUGUGACGGUAUCUUACCAGAAAGGGACGGCUAACUACGUG